GACGACCGGCGCACGGGUGCGUAACGCGUAUAGAACCUACCUUAUAUUGGGGGAUAGCCCAGAGGAAUUUGGAUUAAUACCCCAUAGUAUGCUGAAUUGGCAUCAGUUUAGUAUUAAAGAUUUAUCGAUAUAAGAUGGCUAUGCGUUCUAUUAGCUAGUUGGUAAGGUAACGGCUCACCAAGGCGACGAUAGAUAGGGGUCCUGAGAGGGAGAUCCCCCACACUGGUACUGAGACACGGACCAGACUCCUACGGGAGGCAGCAGUGAGAAAUAUUGGACAAUGGAGGCAACUCUGAUCCAGCCAUGCCGCGUGCAGGAAGACUGCCCUAUGGGUUGUAAACUGCUUUUAUAGAGGAAGAAACCGCUCUACGUGUAGAGCUCUGACGGUACUCUACGAAUAAGGAUCGGCUAACUCCGUGCCAGCAGCCGCGGUAAUACGGAGGAUCCAAGCGUUAUCCGGAAUCAUUGGGUUUAAAGGGUCCGUAGGCGGGCUUAUAAGUCAGUGGUGAAAGUUUGCGGCUCAACCGUAAAAUUGCCAUUGAUACUGUAGGUCUUGAAUCAUUGUGAAGUGGUUAGAAUGUGUAGUGUAGCGGUGAAAUGCAUAGAUAUUACACAGAAUACCGAUUGCGAAGGCAGAUCACUAACAAUUGAUUGACGCUCAGGGACGAAAGCGUGGGUAGCGAACAGGAUUAGAUACCCUGGUAGUCCACGCCGUAAACGAUGGUUACUAGCUGUUUGGACUUCGGUCUGAGUGGCUAAGCGAAAGUGAUAAGUAACCCACCUGGGGAGUACGUUCGCAAGAAUGAAACUCAAAGGAAUUGACGGGGGCCCGCACAAGCGGUGAAGCAUGUGGUUUAAUUCGAUGAUACGCGAGGAACCUUACCAGGGCUUAAAUGUAG
RNAcentral lists this ribosomal RNA (899 nucleotides) under uncultured bacterium. Its description in RNAcentral is "bacterial SSU rRNA". It matches the Rfam family "Bacterial small subunit ribosomal RNA", at positions 90 to 990 of the family's 1533-position model. The record is from RNAcentral.